Molecule: transfer RNA, 53 nt
Filed under: Argas miniatus
Lineage: Eukaryota; Metazoa; Arthropoda; Arachnida; Ixodida; Argasidae
Description: tRNA-Ser
Source: RNAcentral
AAGGUCAUCAUUUAAGGCUGCUAACCUUAUAUUAAUGGAAACAUUUGACCUUU